Molecule: long non-coding RNA, 239 nt
Filed under: Prunus dulcis (almond)
Lineage: Eukaryota; Viridiplantae; Streptophyta; Magnoliopsida; Rosales; Rosaceae
Description: sRNA ncRNA
Source: RNAcentral
AUGUUGUCUAAUUUAACUCGUUUUGUGAUUCUUCUCGUAAAAAUUCAGUCGUCCAAGGAUAGGGAUCCAUUAAGGAAGAAAGAAAGGGCCAGCGCAUGGAGAUUGUAUUUUCUGUGGUUCGCAACUCCACAAGUGGGAACAUACGGCAUAUAAGUUCUCUGGAAGUUUUCACUUUCUUCAUUCUCUACUCUACAAGUGGGAGCUGUCCAAUUCAUCCACUAGUUCGCAUGCAAAAGUAA